CUUUUGCUGGGAGCUGCAAUCCUGAGCUACUCCUAAUCAGCCAUCUUGGAUUCGUCUGUGUUUCUUAUUCUAAUCAGAUGUGGAACGGUUUCAGUGCAGCAUAUACGUUCAUGUUAGUGAUGAACUUGGGUGGAGAUGGUGACACAGCUUGUUCUCUCCUCCUAGGUUCUCAGUGAAUUCAAGAUCUUGAGCUGCCAGGGGCCUGGCCACUCCCACCCUGAGCCCUGCUUUCUUUGGCUGAGCUGGUCAUUGCUGCAUGUCCCUGGCUUCUGGCCUGCCUAUCCUCUGCAGUGCACAGGAGCUUUCCCAGUGGGUUCUGAACCUGCUCCUCCUCAGUCCAGCCAGCCAGCCAGUUCAUAGGAAUUGUGUAUAGUUGGUUAAGACAGAGAUCAAGAUGAGACAAACUCAUUCAUGUGGCUGAAUUAUGUUUGACUGUAUGGAGAGACUACAUUUGUUUAUCUCUCGGCGGGCACUUGGAUUGCAGCUAUUUUUCAGCUCCUAUGAACAAUGCUGUGCCGAGACCAGCUCAGCCUCAGAGACCGCAACUCAUGCGGCAGUGAAGGAAUUAAGAAACAGACACCGACAUAGCAAAAGGUGGGUUCAGAGUGGGGCACCAGGGGUCUCACAGCACUUCCAGCUGAGAGUCCAGAGCAGACUCUAACCAAUGUAUUUAUUCUUUACGUUCCAGUGACAAGUUUUACAAGAAGAUGCUCUGUGUUCUUUCAUUGGUUAAAGGUAAACUUACCAGGCAGCUAGUGUGUGUUUACUACAAGUUAAAGACAAACUAGAAAGCGCUCUUUACAAGGGAACAAAGAAAGGGUUACCCAUCCUGUGCUCAAAGAACUGAUUCAUCUGGCGUGAGACACAAUUAUAUUGAAUACUGUUUAUAGUGCUCUGAGCAGUUUGCUGCUUUGGGGCAGUUUUCCGCUUUGGGAGGCCGACUAAGUUUCCCUUGCCACCUCUCUCAAUAGGAUUUCUCAGCAAACAAUAUGAUUUCUCACUCAACAACGCUGCUAUGAGCAUCAGUGUAUAAAUGUGUGAGGCCCUUUGAAUUGUAGAGAGUACACACCCAGAAGCGGAAAUGCUGGAUUAUAUGGUAAUCCUUGUUUAGAGACAGAGUAUCGCUCUGUCACCCAGGCUGGAAUGCAGUGGUGCAAUCCUGGCUGACUGCAACCUCUGCCUCCUGGGUUCAAGCAAUUCUUAACCCUCAGCCUCCUGAGUAGCUGGGAUUACAGGCCGCACCGCCACGCGUGGCUCGUUUUUGUGUUUUUAGUAGAGAUGGAUUUCACCACGUUGGCCAGACUGGUCUUGACCUCCUAGCCUCAAGUGAUUCACCUGUCAUGGCCUCACAAAGUGCUGGGAUUACCAGUUUGUGCCACCAUGCCUGGCCUGUUUUACACUUUUUGAUGAAAAGUUUAAACACUGUUUUCCAUAGUUAAGCUCCAUUUUAUAUUCCCAGUAAGAGUACACACGGCUUCCAGCUGCUCAGCAUUCUCUCUAAGACUUUAUUUUCUGUAUGGAUUACAGCCAUCCUAAUGAGUCUGAGGUGGCCUCUCCAUGUAGGUCUUCUUUUUUUGAGAUGGAGUCUCGCUCUGUCACCCCGGCUACUGUACAGUGGUGCAAUCUUGGCUCACUGCAAUCUCCCCCUCCCAGGUUCAAGCAAUUCUCCUGCCUCAGCCUCCUGAGCAUCUGGGAAUUCAUCAGCCAAGCUGGUCUCAAACUCCUGACCUCAAGUGAUCUGGGAAUUCAUCAGCCAAGCUGGUCUCAAACUCCUGACCUCAAGUGAUCCGCCCAUCUCGGCCUAUCAGAGUGCUGGGACUCCAGGCAUGAGCCAAUUCUCCAACCUUCCCAUGGAGUCACACCACCUCCUGUCUUGGCACUUCAUGAGUCCAGUGGUCUUUCACAAGAGGAUCUGGUUGGCAGACCGUGACCUUGGUUCCUGCUUCUAUCCGUAGAUUUAUUCUUAGCAGCCACCACCUUUUUGGUACUAGAACAGUGCGUUUUUUAUAGUGCGUUCAUCGGUGGAUGCUGAGACCACAACCCGGUCAUUUGGAUGUUCAACUAAUGCUUUAUGACGCAGUCCCUGCAACUCACCAACCCGUGC
Molecule: non-coding RNA, 2104 nt
Organism: Callithrix jacchus (white-tufted-ear marmoset)
Lineage: Eukaryota; Metazoa; Chordata; Mammalia; Primates; Cebidae
Source: RefSeq, a predicted model, not a curated record